CCUACGGGUGGCUGCAGUGGGGAAUAUUGGGCAAUGGGCGAAAGCCUGACCCAGCAACGCCGCGUGAAGGAAGAAGGCUUUCGGGUUGUAAACUUCUUUUGACAGGGAAGAGCAGAAGACGGUACCUGUCGACUAAGCCACGGCUAACUACGUGCCAGCAGCCGCGGUACUACGUAGGCGGCAAGCGUUGUCCGGCUUUACUGGGUGUAAAGGGCGUGUAGCCGGGCUGACAAGUCAGAUGUGAAAUCCGGGGGCUCAACCCCCGAACUGCAUUUGAAACUGUUGAUCUUGAGUACUGGAGAGGCAGACGGAAUUCCUAGUGUAGCGGUGAAAUGCGUAGAUAUUAGUAGGAACACCAGUGGCGAAGGCGGUCUGCUGGACAGCAACUGACGGUGAGGCGCGAAAGCGUGGGGAGCAAACAGGAUUAGAUACCCCUGUAGUC
RNAcentral lists this ribosomal RNA (442 nucleotides) under uncultured bacterium. Its description in RNAcentral is "partial 16S ribosomal RNA". It matches the Rfam family "Bacterial small subunit ribosomal RNA", at positions 338 to 795 of the family's 1533-position model. The record is from RNAcentral.